UCCACGAGUUCCGUGCCGCAGCUAACGCAUUAAGCGCCCCGCCUGGGGAGUACGGCCGCAAGGCUAAAACUCAAAGGAAUUGACGGGGGCCCGCACAAGCGGCGGAGCAUGCGGAUUAAUUCGAUGCAACGCGAAGAACCUUACCAAGGCUUGACAUACACCGGAAACAUGCAGAGAUGUGUGCCCCGCAAGGUCGGUGUACAGGUGGUGCAUGGUUGUCGUCAGCUCGUGUCGUGAGAUGUUGGGUUAAGUCCCGCAACGAGCGCAACCCUCGUUCCAUGUUGCCAGCACGUAAUGGUGGGGACUCAUGGGAGACUGCCGGGGUCAACUCGGAGGAAGGUGGGGAUGACGUCAAAUCAUCAUGCCCCUUAUGUCUUGGGCUUCACGCAUGCUACAAUGGCCGGUACAGAGUGUUGCGAUACCGCGAGGUGGAGCGAAUCACUAAAAGCCGGUCUCAGUUCGGAUUGGGGUCUGCAACUCGACCCCAUGAAGUCGGAGUCGCUAGUAAUCGCAGAUCAGCAACGCUGCGGUGAUACGUUCCCGGGC
This 546-nucleotide ribosomal RNA is filed under the name uncultured bacterium. Its description in RNAcentral is "bacterial SSU rRNA". It matches the Rfam family "Bacterial small subunit ribosomal RNA", at positions 831 to 1379 of the family's 1533-position model. The record is from RNAcentral.